GACAGGGAGCAGACAUUGAUUAAUCUAGACACAAGGCUCAGCUGGGCAGACACAGAUGGCGACUAUAUCAACCAGGAAGCUGGCAACAGGAGGGGUAGGAGGAAAGAAGUCUUCAACUGCUUCCUGGGGGCUAUCACAGAAGUUGGAGUGACUCAAUAAAAUGCAAAAGAGAUGACCAGACUGAUUCUUCGAAAGGCACAAAAAUGAAGCUCGGAGCCUGACUGACUCUAAAAAUGAGGAAAAUCAAAGAAAAGAGAACACAGAUGAUGGACUCCAGAGCCAGGGGGAGCAUUUCCAUUAAUCCCUCAGUGGAGAGUAAAGGCUACAGUGUAAAUGCAUUUAUGGACUAUAUUAGCUUUACUGGCACUCUACAUUCGGAACUCCAAUGGAUUGAGGACUAGGCUGUUUUUUCCAACUUGGGAUGUAAGCUGAACACCUGGCAGAGCAAGAAUGGAAUUUCCCUCCCUUCCUACAGCAUUGCAAAACCAACGAGGUACAUUCUACAGUGGGAAUUUGACUUUCUGAGGCAUUGUGCAGUGGCCACUGCCAAAGAGAUUUGAACCGUGAGUGGAAUGAUCCGGCAGGACUGGACCAAGCUGAACCGGCUUGUACAGAGCUGGCUUUGCAGUGAGGACUGAUCAGACUGGUAGCAAGACAGUGCUGGCUUCACAGCACUUCCCAAGCUAGCGAGGACUGACCAGACCAGUGGAGGAAGAGCUGAUGUCGCAGACCUGAACCAGAGCAUUCCUUCACCCUCCCCCCAAAUGCAUUAGCUCGUAUUAUUCCAAACUGAAUCCAGGUUUUUUGACUGGGAC
Molecule: long non-coding RNA, 815 nt
Organism: Mauremys reevesii (Reeves's turtle)
Lineage: Eukaryota; Metazoa; Chordata; Testudines; Geoemydidae
Exons: 6
Source: RefSeq, a predicted model, not a curated record